Long non-coding RNA from Anthonomus grandis grandis, 370 nucleotides. RefSeq lists it as uncharacterized. The transcript has 2 exons. Lineage: Eukaryota; Metazoa; Arthropoda; Insecta; Coleoptera; Curculionidae. The record is from RefSeq and is a predicted model, not a curated record.
UAACAUAUUAAGAGGUUUUGGAAUUUCUGCAAAGUUUCGAAUAAACCCGCGAAAUAGUUACAAAAUGCUAUAAAGCGUUUUACUUCAUCAGCAUUUUUAGGCUCUGGGUAUUUAUUAAUAAUGUCGUAUUUUGACUCGUCAGGCAAAAUUCCAUUACUAGUAAUCCUGUGACCUAGACCAAAAAUAAAAGAAAAUACACAAAUCCCGAAUAUAAACAGAGAGCCAUUGGACAGAUGACACUACGCGUAUUGGUCAGGCGGUGUUGUCGCUUCAAAUUUUUUAGAAGCGGUUUCAGGAAUAAGAAUGUUAAUCAUUUUGUUUUUUUUUUGAUUAAGGAUAUUAUAUUUCUUCUUAAAAUAGGUUAAUUCUA